GCGAAUGCGUUGAGAGGAAAUAGUAGCGGAACAGUGUCCUUUAAGAGAGCCGGUGUUUGGUGAAAACUGGCGGCACUGCCUGUGAAUCCGUCCUUGAGCAAAAUGCCGAACCGCCGAUCAUUUCGGGCAAGUAAGCAUUUUCGGGAUCACCCCGUUAUCAGGCAAAGAGGAAAGCUCAGGCUUUCAAUUUGGGUGGCAACGCGGGUAAACUCUCGUCCCUUUG
Molecule: non-coding RNA, 223 nt
Filed under: Bacillus sp. (in: firmicutes)
Lineage: Bacteria; Bacillati; Bacillota; Bacilli; Caryophanales; Bacillaceae
Description: Bacillus sp. T-box sequence
Rfam family: T-box leader
About the family: Uncharged tRNA acts as the effector for transcription antitermination of genes in the T-box leader family. T-boxes are found upstream of many aminoacyl-tRNA synthetase genes and some amino acid biosynthetic genes usually in Gram-positive bacteria.
Source: RNAcentral